Molecule: long non-coding RNA, 1215 nt
Filed under: Triticum aestivum (bread wheat)
Lineage: Eukaryota; Viridiplantae; Streptophyta; Magnoliopsida; Poales; Poaceae
Description: long non-coding RNA (TAES_LNC019669)
Source: RNAcentral
AAAGAUGGAGGAUCUUAAGCAGCCUGUGAGCAGAUGCACAGAUAUGUUGUCAAUUACACUUCGACCUUCACCUUCCUGUUCAUUUCCGGAUCAGUUGUGAGGUGAGGCUGCUUCCGCUGAUCUUAUAAGAGAGUGGGGUAUCUCUUUCCACAUGGUACGUGUGUUUACAUCUCACAGAAGUUCACACUAGUUCCUUCCCAGAUUUUGUUCGUUUGUUCUUGCAUUCUUCUGAUGUACUCACAACAAUAUAACAUGUCUGUACCUUUCAUUUCUGUGUUGCUUCUUGCUUGCUUGAAUUCACUUUGCACAGUAGCAAACACGUGAAGGACAGUUGAGCGAUAAUUGCUUUCAAUGUUUUUUUAACAUUAGCUGUGAGUACAUGUAUACUGAAAUUAGUCGCCGCAGUAUCAAAUUGCCUUCCUGUGAUACUAGGAUUUAUCACUGCAUAUACUCCCUCCAUUUACUUAUACAAGGCCACUAUAGAAAAUACACUUUGCAUCUAUACAAGGCCACUAACAGUAAUCGAGACAAAAGUUAAUGAUAUUUUCUCGAACUAGCAACCUAUUUAAAACAUGCAUGCAUGCAAUCAUAAAUGAUAGUACAAUCAGCUUCCUACCCUUUCCUUGCAUGUAUUUGGUGUAUUAAUGAUCCAGUAUACGAAGAGAAAAGCUGAUUUACAAAGAAGACAUUAAAUUUUACCUUGGUACCUAUAAUAUGAGUUUGUGGCCUUGUAUAUAAAAAUGGAGGGAGUAUCUAGGAUCCAAGGGCGUUGCAAAUUCGCAAAAUUGAUGCAAAUUGGGCGUGAGCGUGCUUAGUUAGCUAAUACAAGUAGAAUAUUCUAGCUAAAUGAAGUGCCUCGUCCAUCAUGCUCGAACCUUAUAGCUAAGCACUACAUGCUUCUGUUCGCCGAAACACCUGCACUUUGAAACUCUGUAUAUGAUGCGAGGACAAAUUCUUAAUUGUCGUUGCAGCCUGUAGUCCCAUUUUCUUAUUUAGAAAUGUACAGAUUUUCGCUCGAUGCACUUUACUGAUCAAUGCCUUCUUCUCCUGAUGCAGCUUAUUACCAACUGAGAGUUACCUCGCAUCAAGGCCAGUGAGGAGGAAAAAUGCAUCUCUCCAGUCAAAACUUAUAUGCUGAUAACUACCGGAUCCGCAGAACGGCAGAAGACGCCUUCUAACCGUUCAUAACGCCCCGAUGUCUUUCAUAAUGCCCCG